AGAGUUUGAUCAUGGCUCAGAGCGAACGCUGGCGGCGUGCCUAACACAUGCAAGUCGAACGUGAAAGGGGGCAACCCCGAGUAAAGUGGCGUACGGGUGAGUAACGCGUAGGUAAUCUACCUCAGAGUCUGGAAUAACCUGCCGAAAGGCGGGCUAAUACUGGAUAGAGCGACGGAAUCCGUAAUUGGGUUUUUCGGGAAAGGGAGGGAGCAAUCCCCCUUGCUCUGGGAUGAGCCUGCGUCUCAUUAGCUAGUUGGUGGGGUAACGGCCCACCAAGGCUUUGAUGGGUAGCUGGUCUGAGAGGAUGAUCAGCCACACUGGAACUGAAACACGGUCCAGACUCCUACGGGAGGCAGCAGUGGGGAAUCUUGCGCAAUGGACGAAAGUCUGACGCAGCCACGCCGCGUGAGUGAAGAAGGCCUUCGGGUUGUAAAGCUCUGUCGAGCGGGACGAAAAUCUCGGGUGUUAACAGCAUCCGGGCCUGACGGUACCGCUAAAGGAAGCACCGGCUAACUUCGUGCCAGCAGCCGCGGUAAUACGAGGGGUGCAAGCGUUGCUCGGAAUUAUUGGGCGUAAAGGGUAGGUAGGUGGUCUCAUUUGUCUAGGGUGAAAUCCUUGGGCUUAACCCAAGAAGUGCCCUAGAAACGGUGAGACUGGAGUCUUGGAGAGGGUCGUGGAAUUCCCGGUGUAGCGGUGAAAUGCGUAGAGAUCGGGAGGAACACCAGAGGCGAAGGCGGCGACCUGGACAAGCACUGACACUCAACUACGAAAGCGUGGGGAGCAAACAGGAUUAGAUACCCCCGUAGUCC
Molecule: ribosomal RNA, 809 nt
Filed under: uncultured bacterium
Lineage: Bacteria
Description: bacterial SSU rRNA
Rfam family: Bacterial small subunit ribosomal RNA
Source: RNAcentral